Molecule: transfer RNA, 69 nt
Filed under: Gonorynchus abbreviatus (bighead beaked sandfish)
Lineage: Eukaryota; Metazoa; Chordata; Actinopteri; Gonorynchiformes; Gonorynchidae
Description: tRNA-Ala
Rfam family: tRNA
About the family: Transfer RNA (tRNA) molecules are approximately 80 nucleotides in length. Their secondary structure includes four short double-helical elements and three loops (D, anti-codon, and T loops). Further hydrogen bonds mediate the characteristic L-shaped molecular structure. tRNAs have two regions of fundamental functional importance: the anti-codon, which is responsible for specific mRNA codon recognition, and the 3' end, to which the tRNAs corresponding amino acid is attached (by aminoacyl-tRNA synthetases). tRNAs cope with the degeneracy of the genetic code in two manners: having more than one tRNA (with a specific anti-codon) for a particular amino acid; and 'wobble' base-pairing, i.e. permitting non-standard base-pairing at the 3rd anti-codon position.
Source: RNAcentral
AAGGCCUUAGCUUAAUUAAAGUCUUUGAUUUGCAUUCAAAAGAUGUGGGAUAAAGUCCCGCAGGCCUUA